CCUACGGGAGACAGCAGUGAGGAAUAUUGGUCAAUGGACGAGAGUCUGAACCAGCCAAGUAGCGUGAAGGAUGACUGCCCUAUGGGUUGUAAACUUCUUUUAUAAAGGAAUAAAACGAGGCACGUGUGCCUUUUUGCAUGUACUUUAUGAAUAAGGAUCGGCUAACUCCGUGCCAGCAGCCGCGGUAAUACGGAGGAUCCGAGCGUUAUCCGGAUGUAUUGGGUUUAAAGGGAGCGUAGAUGGGUUGUUAAGUCAGUUGUGAAAGUUUGCGGCUCAACCGUAAAAUUGCAAUUGAUACUGGCAGUCUUGAGUACAGUUGAGGUAGGCGGAAUUCGUGGUGUAGCGGUGAAAUGCUUAGAUAUCACGAAGAACCCCGAUUGCGAAGGCAGCUUACUAAACUGUGACUGACAUUGAUGCUCGAAAGUGUGGGUAUCAAACAGGAUUAGAUACCCUUGUAGUC
RNAcentral lists this ribosomal RNA (460 nucleotides) under uncultured bacterium. RNAcentral's name for it is "partial 16S ribosomal RNA". It matches the Rfam family "Bacterial small subunit ribosomal RNA", at positions 338 to 795 of the family's 1533-position model. The record is from RNAcentral.